UACGUAGGUGGCGAGCGUUGUCCGGAUUUACUGGGCGUAAAGGGCGCGUAGGCGGUCAGCACAAGUCAGUUGUGAAAUCUCCGGGCUUAACUCGGAAAGGUCAACUGAUACUGUGCGACUAGAGUGCAGAAGGGGCAACUGGAAUUCUCGGUGUAGCGGUGAAAUGCGUAGAUAUCGAGAGGAACACCUGCGGCGAAGGCGGGUUGCUGGGCUGACACUGACGCUGAUGCGCGAAAGCCAGGGGAGCGAACGGG
This 254-nucleotide ribosomal RNA is filed under the name uncultured bacterium. RNAcentral's name for it is "partial 16S ribosomal RNA". It matches the Rfam family "Bacterial small subunit ribosomal RNA", at positions 524 to 776 of the family's 1533-position model. The record is from RNAcentral.